AACAGCGCCACAACGAGGCAAGAUGGCCGCCGGCCUGAGCAGAGUGGGCGGGGCCAGAGGCUGCUGAGCUUCACCAGGCAGCUGGCGGGAAAGGGCAGGGUGACCGUUAGUGACGGUGCUUGGUGGGGGAUGGGGGGUAUGUCUGCCCGCCCGCCCGCCAGCCAGCCCGCCCGCGGUGAGUGAUGAGGGAUGGCUGGAAGAGGAGGACGUGAAGUUCGGGAAAGUCUCAAGGAUGUUAAUUGACCCAGUAACUCGAGGAUCACCACAUCACGCAAGGGGAGAAGGUUAUGGUAACCUCAGCCAAAAUGGAAAUGGAAUACACACUUGGCAUUGUUAACCAGCUGUCUCGCCAACUGAGCUAACCAGCCCUCAAAACUUCUGCAGUUGCAAAUGAUACUAAGUGGAAAUGUGAGAAUGAAUCCUUAUGAAGCAUCUUCAAUCAGAGAGACAUGCAUGCCUGGAGAGAGAGAAGUGUUCAUGAGCUCAUUCCUGCAAUGGGGGAAUUGUCCAUGAGGAAACAUUAAUUUGCUGGGAAUACAUGUUUAUGCCGAAGGACAAUGUGGAAAAGGGGAAGAUAUGGAACAGUUUGGACAAUUUUCGGAUUGGACAGGGUUCACUAUCACCAUGGUUUCUUGGAUUGGAGUCAUCAGUUUAAUGUGUCUUUUGGUUUACCCACUGUCCAUUGACAGGGACUGCAUUGAUGUCUGAGGAGUCGUGAACAGUGCUGAACAAUUUACAAUCGUCGGCAAAUAUACCCACU
Non-coding RNA from Chiloscyllium plagiosum (whitespotted bambooshark), 760 nucleotides. Lineage: Eukaryota; Metazoa; Chordata; Chondrichthyes; Orectolobiformes; Hemiscylliidae. The record is from RefSeq and is a predicted model, not a curated record.